ACAGGGAUUGCCCUAGUAACGGCGAGUGAAGCGGCAACAGCUCAAAUUUGAAAUCUGGCGUCUUUGGCGUCCGAGUUGUAAUUUGCAGAGGGCGCUUUGGCAUUGGCAGCGGUCCAAGUUCCUUGGAACAGGACGUCACAGAGGGUGAGAAUCCCGUACGUGGUCGCUAGCCUUUACCGUGUAAAGCCCCUUCGACGAGUCGAGUUGUUUGGGAAUGCAGCUCUAAAUGGGAGGUAAAUUUCUUCUAAAGCUAAAUACUGGCCAGAGACCGAUAGCGCACAAGUAGAGUGAUCGAAAGAUGAAAAGCACUUUGGAAAGAGAGUUAAAAAGCACGUGAAAUUGUUGAAAGGGAAGCGCUUGCAGCCAGACUUGCCUGUAGUUGCUCAUCCGGGUUUUUACCCGGUGCACUCUUCUAUAGGCAGGCCAGCAUCAGUUUGGGCGGUUGGAUAAAGGUCUCUGUCAUGUACCUCUCUUCGGGGAGAACUUAUAGGGGAGACGACAUGCAACCAGCCCGGACUGAGGUCCGCGCAUCUGCUAGGAUGCUGGCGUAAUGGCUGUAAGCGGCCCGUCUUGAAACACGGACCAAGGAGUCUAACAUCUAUGCGAGUGUUUGGGUGUCAAGCCCGAGCGCGUAAUGAAAGUGAACGGAGGUGGGAACCUUUCGGGGUGCACCAUCGACCGAUCCUGAUGUCUUCGGAUGGAUUUGAGUAAGAGCAUAGCUGUUGGGACCCGAAAGAUGGUGAACUAUGCUUGAAUAGGGUGAAGCCAGAGGAAACUCUGGUGGAGGCUCGCAGCGGUUCUGACGUGCAAAUCGAUCGUCAAAUUUGGGCAUAGGGGCGAAAGACUAAUCGAACUAUCUAGUAGCUGGUUCCUGCCGAAGUUUCCCUCAGGAUAGCAGUAACGUUUUCAGUUUUAUGAGGUAAAGCGAAUGAUUAGAGGCAUGGGGGUUGAAACAACCUU
RNAcentral lists this ribosomal RNA (960 nucleotides) under Macroventuria terrestris. RNAcentral describes it as "partial large subunit ribosomal RNA". It matches the Rfam family "Eukaryotic large subunit ribosomal RNA", at positions 68 to 1048 of the family's 3401-position model. Lineage: Eukaryota; Fungi; Ascomycota; Dothideomycetes; Pleosporales; Didymellaceae. The record is from RNAcentral.